UACGUAUGGGGCAAGCGUUAUCCGGAUUUACUGGGUGUAAAGGGAGCGCAGGCGGCCUGGCAAGCCUGAUGUGAAAUACCGGGGCCCAACCCCGGGGCUGCAUUGGGAACUGCUAGGCUGGAGUGCCGGAGAGGCAGGCGGAAUUCCUAGUGUAGCGGUGAAAUGCGUAGAUAUUAGGAGGAACACCAGUGGCGAAGGCGGCCUGCUGGACGGUGACUGACGCUGAGGCUCGAAAGCGUGGGGAGCAAACAGG
RNAcentral lists this ribosomal RNA (253 nucleotides) under uncultured bacterium. RNAcentral's name for it is "partial 16S ribosomal RNA". It matches the Rfam family "Bacterial small subunit ribosomal RNA", at positions 524 to 776 of the family's 1533-position model. The record is from RNAcentral.